UACAGAGGUCCCGAGCGUUGUUCGGAUUCAUUGGGCGUAAAGGGUGCGUAGGUGGCAAGGUAAGUUGGAUGUGAAAUCCUGGGGCUUAACCUCAGAAUUGCAUUCAAUACUGCCUCGCUAGAGAGCUGUAGAGGAGACUGGAAUUUACGGUGUAGCAGUGAAAUGCGUAGAUAUCGUAAGGAACGCCAGUGGCGAAAGCGAGUCUCUGGGCAGCAUCUGACACUGAGGCACGAAGGCCAGGGGAGCAAACGGG
RNAcentral lists this ribosomal RNA (253 nucleotides) under uncultured bacterium. Its description in RNAcentral is "partial 16S ribosomal RNA". It matches the Rfam family "Bacterial small subunit ribosomal RNA", at positions 524 to 776 of the family's 1533-position model. The record is from RNAcentral.